RNAcentral lists this ribosomal RNA (251 nucleotides) under uncultured prokaryote. RNAcentral describes it as "partial 16S rRNA". It matches the Rfam family "Bacterial small subunit ribosomal RNA", at positions 525 to 775 of the family's 1533-position model. The record is from RNAcentral.
ACGUAGGGGGCAAGCGUUGUCCGGAAUUAUUGGGCGUAAAGAGCUCGUAGGUGGGGUUAUAAGUCAGCAAGUAAAUAUCUCGGCUCAACUGAGAUCUCAUUGUUGAUACUGUAACUCUUGAGGACAGGAGAGGAAAGUGGAAUUCCCGGUGUAGCGGUGAAAUGCGUAGAGAUCGGGAGGAACACCAGUGGCGAAGGCGGCUUUCUGGCCUGAUUCUGACACUGAGGAGCGAAAGCUAGGGGAGCGAACGG